Molecule: long non-coding RNA, 1657 nt
Organism: Xenia sp. Carnegie-2017
Lineage: Eukaryota; Metazoa; Cnidaria; Anthozoa; Malacalcyonacea; Xeniidae
Exons: 8
Source: RefSeq, a predicted model, not a curated record
UAUAAAAAUACGUAAAACAAAAACUAUAAUCGAAAAAGACAAUGCACAGGAAAUUUUUAAAAAGACGGUGAAAAAGGAAAGUGAAAAUGGGAGGAAAAUAAGUGGAAGCAAUGAAGAUUCUGAUGAACAAAAAACAAAGAAACGUAAACGAUGUCUGAAGACAACGGGCACGAGGCUACUUCAAAUAAGAAAAACAAACAGAUCGACAAAGGAGACAAUAUUCAUGAACAAGAAUUUAAAAUGACGUGUAGAGAGAAAAACACGUAGAGACGAAAAUGAAAAACGAAAGCGGACAAAAAGUAAAAGACAAUAUUGAAUUGGAAAAACCAAAACUUCGAGUCAUAUCAAAGAUGGAAUGGUAAAAGUUAAAGAAUGAAUAUCGCCAAUUACAAAAACAAGCGAUGAAAGAUGCUAAACAAAACUGAAGAUCGAGUUUGAGGUAUCAACUGCAGAAGUUCCACAGCGAAAAAUAAAGGAUAAAGUGAAUUGUAAAGCAGAAAAUAAUGCAAAAGAUGAGAAAAAACUUCCUGAAAAACUUGAACGGCAGAAUGGCGUUGUUCUAAGGUUUAAAUCAAAUGAAAAUGUUGACUCAACAGAGGUACUGGACAUAUUUUAAACAAUUACCACUGUAGCUUAUCUUGAAAUAAACGAUAACAAAAAAGGAGGUUAUGUACGGUUCCCGACAAAGGAAAUGUACGAGAAAGUUGUAGAAACAUUCUCGAAAAGCGAUGGUUGUGUUAAAGAUAUAAAAAUUGAAAAACUUUCAGAAUACGAAGACAAAGAAUAUUGGGAGAGAUUAAAAUAGAGCGAACUCAACGAUUUAUGAACAAAAAGAAAAGGAAAAAAAAUACCAGAGGAAGGCAAAAGAUUACCAAGAAAGUUGAUGAACAUAAUGCAAGAAAGAAAGAACAUAUCCAUUUUAAUAACUAGUAGGCAUUAAAAAGUAACAUUAAAAUGUCCAAUUAUGUGCAUGCUCAAUAUUUCAAGUGUUAUUGUUGUUGUUUUUGUGUCAAGUUUGGUUGGUACACUACUCUUUUUCAAUAAAGCUUGGUAUAUUUUGGUCAUCAUUGAUAUCUUUCGUGUUUUGUGAUCGAAAGUUCGCAACACUGAAAUCAAGUGUACAGUACUGCUUCAGCGUUUUAAGAUCAAAUUAAAUAUAUUUGAAAUCGACAUUGGAAGCGUGUGUUUGAAGAAGUUGUUACACCAAAUAUCUACAGCACCAAACUGUGGAUGACGUCAGGUCAUUGGCAACAUUAUUCUGAGAAUUUAUUCAAGUUUGAAAUAGAAAAGGAAGUUUAUGCUCUUAAGGCAAUGAACUGUCCUGGACAUUGUUUGAUGUUCGAUCAUCGCCCUCGCUCCUGGCGUGAAUUACCAUUGCGUAUGGCUGAUUUUGGCGUGUUACAUCGAAACAAGUUAUCUGGUGCUUUGAGUGGACUUGCGAGAGUUAGAAGAAGAUUUCAACAGGAUGAUGCUCACAUUUUUUGUACAAUGUAACAGAUUUCAUCAGAAAUAGACAGUUGUCUUGACUUCUUACGUUCUGUUUACGAUAUCUUUGGUUUUACGUUCAUUGUUGAGCUAUCAACUCCACCUGAGAAAUUCAUGAACUGGUUACAUGGAAUGAAGCUGAACAGGGUUUGUUCCCAACAGAAAAGGGAGG